Molecule: ribosomal RNA, 484 nt
Filed under: uncultured bacterium
Lineage: Bacteria
Description: partial 16S ribosomal RNA
Rfam family: Bacterial small subunit ribosomal RNA
Source: RNAcentral
AUUGAACGCUGGCGGCAGGCCUAACACAUGCAAGUCGAGCGGAUGAAGGGAGCUUGCUCCUGGAUCCAGCGGCGGACGGGUGAGUAAUGCCUAGGAAUCUGCCUGGUAGUGGGGGAUAACGUCCGGAAACGGGCGCUAAUACCGCAUACGUCCUGAGGGAGAAAGUGGGGGAUCUUCGGACCUCACGCUAUCAGAUGAGCCUAGGUCGGAUUAGCUAGUUGGUGGGGUAAAGGCCUACCAAGGCGACGAUCCGUAACUGGUCUGAGAGGAUGAUCAGUCACACUGGAACUGAGACACGGUCCAGACUCCUACGGGAGGCAGCAGUGGGGAAUAUUGGACAAUGGGCGGAAGCCUGACCCAGCCAUGCCGCGUGUGUGGAGAAGAUCUUCGGUUUGUAAAGCACUUUAAGUUGGGAGAAAGGGCAGUAAGUUAAUACCUUGCUGUUUUGACGUUACCAACAGAAUAAGCACCGGCUAACUUCGUG